AGAGUUUGAUCCUGGCUCAGAACGAACGCUGGCGGCGUGGAUAAGACAUGCAAGUCGGACGAGAUUUUCCGUUGUAGCAAUACGAUGGAAAGUCUAGUGGCGAACGGGUGCUUAACACGUGGGCAACCUGCCAGGAAGUGGGGGAUAGCUCGCCGAAAGGCGAAUUAAUACCGCAUGUGAUUAGAGUGGACAUCCAUUCGAAAUUAAAGUCGGGGCAACCUGACGCUUCUUGUGGGGCCCGCGGCCUAUCAGCUAGUUGGUGUGGUAAUGGCUCACCAAGGCUUUGACGGGUAGCUGGUCUGAGAGGACGACCAGCCACACUGGGACUGAGACACGGCCCAGACACCUACGGGUGGCAGCAGUCGAGAAUUUUUCUCAAUGGGGGAAACCCUGAAGGAGCGACGCCGCGUGGAGGAUGAAGGUCUUCGGAUUGUAAACUCCUGUCAUUGGGGAACAAUGCGCAGAUAUUAACUGUAUUUGCGUUGAUAGUACCCGAAGAGGAAGAGACGGCUAACUCUGUGCCAGCAGCCGCGGUAAUACAGAGGUCUCAAGCGUUGUUCGGAUUCAUUGGGCGUAAAGGGUGCGUAGGCGGCGCGGUAAGUCGGGUGUGAAAUCUCGGAGCUUAACUCCGAAACUGCAUUCGAUACUGCCGUGCUUGAGGACUGGAGAGGAGACUGGAAUUUACGGUGUAGCGGUGAAAUGCGUAGAUAUCGUAAGGAAGACCAGUGGCGAAGGCGGGUCUCUGGACAGUUCCUGACGCUGAGGCACGAAGGUCAGGGGAGCAAACGGGAUUAGAUACCCUAGUAGUCC
Molecule: ribosomal RNA, 810 nt
Filed under: uncultured bacterium
Lineage: Bacteria
Description: bacterial SSU rRNA
Rfam family: Bacterial small subunit ribosomal RNA
Source: RNAcentral